This 468-nucleotide ribosomal RNA is filed under the name uncultured bacterium. RNAcentral describes it as "partial 16S ribosomal RNA". It matches the Rfam family "Bacterial small subunit ribosomal RNA", at positions 28 to 507 of the family's 1533-position model. The record is from RNAcentral.
AACGAACGCUGGCGGCGUGCUUAACACAUGCAAGUCGAACGGAAAGGCCCUGCGUUUGUGGGGUGCUCGAGUGGCGAACGGGGGAGUAACACGUGAGUAACCUGCCCUUGACUUUGGGAUAAGUUCAGGAAACUGGGGCUACUACCGUAUAGCAUAUCCUGCUGCAUGGAGGGGGUUGGAACGUUUCGGCUGUUGUGGAUGGACUCGCGGCUUAUCAGCUUGUUGGUGGGGGAGUGGAUGACCCAGGCUUUGGAGGGUAGCCGGCACGAGAGGGGGGACGGCGUCAUGGGGACUGAGAGACGGCCCAGACGGCUACGGGAGGCAGUAGGGGGGAAUAUUGCCCAAUGGUACGAAGCCUGAUGCAGAAACGCCGCGGGCGGGAUGACGUCCUGCGGGGUGAAAACCGCUUUAGCCUGAGACGAAGCGUGAGUGACGGUAAUGGGUAAAGAAGCACCGGCUAACUACGUG